This is a long non-coding RNA of Dermochelys coriacea (leatherback sea turtle), 402 nucleotides long. RefSeq lists it as uncharacterized. The record is from RefSeq and is a predicted model, not a curated record. The transcript is spliced from 2 exons. Lineage: Eukaryota; Metazoa; Chordata; Testudines; Dermochelyidae.
CUGAGCUCAGCACCCAGGUGUCCUGAUUCCUAGGCAGGUGCCCAAGCCACUUGACUGUGAUGCUUAUAUUAAGAAGAAAGUUCCAGCAUCACUGUUGAAAUAGUUUGCCAGGAGAAGUAGGCAGGGAACAAAUUCAGAAGUGCUCAGAGUUAAAUAAGAGCUUGGAAAGCAUAGCUUAGUGUCCUUCCUAUUUAACACAGGCGGUUGGAUCAGAGGACUCAGAAGCUGUUCAAACAAGCCCAUGACAGAGGUGUCUGCCACCACAGCCUUGAAUUUUGCUACUUUGUAUAAAACUGUUGCUUAAAUGUUAGUAAGUUUUAUUGUGUUGAGUGCAGCUUUCCUGUAUCCCUGGCAUUUUUAACGCAAAUUGACUUCAGACUGCCACAUGUUUUGACUUUUUUU